GAAGCUGGCUAGACAGUCGCUGCGCGCGCAAGCGCGGAGAGGAAAGUCCGGGCUCCAUAGAGCAGGAUGCCGGUUAACGACCGGAGGCCGUGAGGCCAUGGAAAGUGCCACAGAAAAUAUACCGCCGAUGAUUUGGUUAUCCAAAAACAGGUAAGGGUGAAAUGGUGGGAGGUGAUCCUUUAAUGUAAGAGCCCACCGCGAUUAUGGCGACAUAAUCGGCAGGGUAAACCCCAUUCGAAGCAAGUCCAAAUAGGACA
This 257-nucleotide RNase P RNA is filed under the name Gammaproteobacteria bacterium. RNAcentral's name for it is "partial RNase P RNA component class A". It matches the Rfam family "Bacterial RNase P class A", at positions 1 to 239 of the family's 367-position model. From Rfam's summary of the family: Ribonuclease P (RNase P) is a ubiquitous endoribonuclease, found in archaea, bacteria and eukarya as well as chloroplasts and mitochondria. Its best characterised activity is the generation of mature 5'-ends of tRNAs by cleaving the 5'-leader elements of precursor-tRNAs. Lineage: Bacteria; Pseudomonadati; Pseudomonadota; Gammaproteobacteria. The record is from RNAcentral.